ACUUAUUUAGCUAAUUGCUCAGACUGCAAUCUUCAGACAGCGUUCAAUGGUGUCUUCGGCGGGCGCGGGCCAGAGGGCAGAAGCCCCCCGGCGGCCGUGAGGCGGGCCCGCCGAAGCAACAAGGUACGAUAAACACGGGUGGGAGGUUGGACCCAGAGGGCCCUCACUCGGUAAUGAUCCUUCCGCAGGUUCACCUACGGAAACCUUGUUACGACUUUUACUUCCUCUAAAUGACCAAGA
RNAcentral lists this unclassified non-coding RNA (240 nucleotides) under uncultured fungus. RNAcentral's name for it is "sequence contains 18S rRNA gene, ITS1, 5.8S rRNA gene, ITS2". Lineage: Eukaryota; Fungi. The record is from RNAcentral.